UAGCUCAACAGUUGUCAUCCUGAUCUAUUGACUGCAUUUGUAGUGACCGGAAACACCACAAACGAUGGCGACAAACGGGGGUCGUGGAUACCUCCCCAACCGCAAUGAGGAGAAGACACGCAUGGAGGAGGCAAUCAGGCAACAACGCCACCUAGGACGCCGCACGACAUCGUCAUUGUGGCCAUGAACAACAACAAAAGGUAUGGUUUAGAUUUGACCUUACAGUUAGUUUAGGAAUCACACAUCACAAAGGUUUUGGCAUUCGGAUAGGCUUUUUAGGGUCUUAGACAACAUCCUAGAGUUAUUGGAAUCAAUAAAUGGCAUCGGAACCACCUUAGUGACCCUAGAUUCCCAAAUCCAUUUUAAAUUAAGAACAACUCUCGGGCAACAUGUGGAUGGGCCCAAAGAGUUCAUCCUUGCCCUCUCACCCUGAGCGAAUAAGAUCAGAGAAGAAGUGUAUGUAGAAAAAAGCAUAUCACAAAAAAUAGAUUAGGUUAGGGUCUCGGGUUAAAUAGAUAUUAAUCUUAAUUUCUAAGAACCAGAAGAAGAAUAAGAAAAAUGGAGGUUUAGGUUUUAGAAAAACACUAACCCUAAUCCCGAAAUGGAGAUCACAGAAACACAGGGGCUCGAUAUUUCAAGGUCCACGACCCAAAUCAACCGAUCAAGAACAAAGAUGAACACAUAACCAAUUUCCCCCAAAAUCGACGGAUCAAGUGCACAUUUGCACCAAGAACUCAGUAGGCCCUAAACUGAGGCAAAUGAAGUAGGCCCUUAGAAAAUUAGGUAAUUGCCGUUGGCAAGAACACGACUGCAAUUAGAUAUCUUAUGCCGAUUGAAAAUUAGGUAAUUGCCGUUGGCAAGAACACGACUGCAAUUACCGACUUGUCCAUUAGUCUGUAAAAGUUAGAUGUCAACGAAACUAUAACAACAAAAAUCACCUAUUUUUCAUGAGCGUAGAUUUAUUUUCAUUAACCUCUAAUCUAAAAAACUAAAUUUUUUGGAUGUAGGCUUAUUUUCGUUAGACUAGCUAGAAAAUUAUCCAGAUUAGUGCUCACUAGUUCAAUCGAAACUCGAUCACUCGUUCAAAUUUAUAUAGAAACUGAAUAAUCAUAAUUCGGGAUCUCUGGUGAACAAAACAGCAUGAUUUGUUAUAGAAGCACAGCGAUUUAAUUAUUCUCUCUCAGUCUCAGACUCUUGUCUCCUCUAUUUAUGGAACAGCCUUUCAAAAAAAAACAUCGAUCUGCGCGCGGCAGCGCAGAGUUCGUCCAUCUUCACUCUCUAGUACGCUUCGCUUAUACAAAACACACAAGACUUUAUUCAGCGUCCAUGGUCUCCGAGAAGGGUAGACCAGAGAUACUACACUACACCGGCGGUAGCGCCGCGCUUACUUGGCGGCCGCGGGCGCGAACGUGAGCAGGGUACGCGAGUCGAGCCAGGGCUUGACGACGACGACGGCGUCGAACACGCGCUCGCCGCCGUUCCCCGCGCCGCCGCCCUCCUCCACGGCCACGACGCGGAGGUAGUACUUGAGCCCCGACACCACCUGCCGCUGCGCCGCCACCACCCUGCCGAACUCGAGCCUGCCGCCGCCGCCGCCACCUUCUCGGAGCUGCCGGUUGUACUCGGCGACGGAGAACCGGCCGAGCUCCUGCACCUCGCCGUCGCCCUCCACGUCCCGCACCUCGGUCCUGGCCCCCACCUUCCUCCCGCGGUACUCGCCGCUCGGCUGCCGUAUGCCGGCCCCGCUGCCCUGGUCGUCGUGGGCGCGCGCGGCCGCCGCCGGCGCCGGCGCCGGCGCCAGGGCACCGAGCAGGACGGCGAGCAGCACGCAAGCGCCGAGCGCACGAGCCAUCGCAGUCCGCGCCGCGUGUCCUCCCGCUCUGCUUCUCACUAGCGGUGCCGUGGUGUGGUGUGUGUGUGUCAGUGUGAUUGUGUGCUGAGUUUGUGACAGCUUGUGAUGAGCGCGCGCGCACGCAGUGUGCGGUGCUGUGGUGUCGCCGUUAUAUACCAUAGCGGGAGGCGGCAGCUCGCCUGCUUGGAACGGAAAGGCGUCGCCAGUUUUGGAAGGCUCUGUGUGGUGCGGCCAAACGCGGCGCGGCGCGCAGUGGGUGCAUGAACUGCGCGUCCCGAGGCGGCGGCGCGCGGGAGGGAUAGGGACGACGGCAUCGGAGCGGAGGACACGUCGGGCGUGCUUGCGAGGGCGUGGUGCCGCGUAGACGGGGCUGCGUCCUGCGUGGGGUCGGCUCCUGAUGGGCGAUGACGUGGCGUGGCGAGGGGUUGUUUGUGACCAACAAACUGAGGGUUUUGUCGCGGCGCCACCUGCUGUGCGGCGGCCGGAGUGACCGGCACCACGGCUCCGGCUCUGUAUCACCCCGGCCCUUGCUCAGCUCAGCUGCUUGCCUAGUUGCACCCGUAAUUAUACAGGCUUGACUAUGCUGAACUCUUAAUCCCACGCUAUAUCACACUGAUUCCGAGGUCAAUGAUGAACACAGUCAGCUCGUGUCCAUUUCCUCUCCCUCCGGGCGUGUUUCAAUGUUUGGAGGUCUCGAUUGCUCUUGCCUCACCUUGUCGGGCCAGAAACUAAAAAAACAAUGGUUUAUUGUUGUAUUUGGAUCUCUUACUAGCUGCUUGCUUGCCUCAGUCUGUGAAAGCAAGGUGUUCUUUGCUCGCUUCUGUAGUUGUGCUAUAUCUUUUUGGAAUCUUGCUCUUAAUCUCUAACCACUAGAACAUAUAGACCUACUAACAAUUUACCUUUGACAGUAGAGCAAUGACCCAUGCCUCUGCUUGGAAAAUCAAAAGAGGCACAGCACACAAGACCGACGAUAGACAUAGGUCUUUACGGUGCUUCGGACUCCCCUGAUCGGUGAGUGCUUAGGGUAUCAAUAAUGUCGAGCACCCUACGACCAAACCAAAGGGUAUAAGCCAGUUAGUUAGGACUAUCCAAGUACUAUCCCUACUUCAACAACAUGACCUUCGUCCUCAGUUGAAUGGUGGUAGCUGGACCCUCGACGUCGACGACGAACGACACAAUGGGCUUUGGAAUGACGACGACUUUCUCCUCAGGAAUAAGGGAAGGGUGAUGCAUCAAGCAGUGACCAAAUAUGCACAUACAUCCAGUGGCGGAGACAGGUAUAGGGCCAC
Molecule: long non-coding RNA, 3141 nt
Filed under: Zea mays
Lineage: Eukaryota; Viridiplantae; Streptophyta; Magnoliopsida; Poales; Poaceae
Description: long non-coding RNA (ZMAY_LNC005107)
Source: RNAcentral